CUCUGAGUCACCCUUUCUCCUCCCUAACAACAUCUGCAGGGGUGAAAUCAGAGUGUUGCGAACAGAACGCCUCGAGGAGUAUCAUGGAGGAGUGUUCUCUUUACUGCACCAUUAGGCCAUAUUUUAUGGGCGCAUGUCCGCAGUCUCCGUGUGAUCUCUGUCUUUAUGCACUGUGGUACAGGCGCUGGGCUGCCAUUACGAUAAGGAGCGGUGAAGCGGCAGGAUGGCUCGUAAAGCGGAUUCAUGACCGUCGCAAUCAGAGGUUAAGGUGUCCUCAAAGUUUAGG
RNAcentral lists this long non-coding RNA (286 nucleotides) under Salmo salar (Atlantic salmon). RNAcentral describes it as "lncRNA (ENSSSAG00000112790.1)". Lineage: Eukaryota; Metazoa; Chordata; Actinopteri; Salmoniformes; Salmonidae. The record is from RNAcentral.